CUCAGUUCAGAUUGCAGGCUGCAACUCGCCUGCAUGAAGCCGGAAUUGCUAGUAAUGGCAGGUCAGCAUACUGCCGUGAAUACGUUCCCGGGCCUUGUACACACCGCCCGUCACACCAUGAGAGUUGGGGAUACCCGAAGCCUGUGAGCUAACUUAACGGAGGCAGCAGUCGAAGGUAGAAUCAAUGAUUGGGGUGAAGUCGUAACAAGGUAUC
RNAcentral lists this ribosomal RNA (214 nucleotides) under uncultured bacterium. RNAcentral's name for it is "partial 16S ribosomal RNA". It matches the Rfam family "Bacterial small subunit ribosomal RNA", at positions 1287 to 1500 of the family's 1533-position model. The record is from RNAcentral.